This 550-nucleotide ribosomal RNA is filed under the name uncultured phototrophic eukaryote. RNAcentral describes it as "bacterial SSU rRNA". It matches the Rfam family "Bacterial small subunit ribosomal RNA", at positions 28 to 612 of the family's 1533-position model. The record is from RNAcentral.
AAGGAACGCUGGCAGCGUGCAUAACACAUGCAAGUCGAACGAUGACAAAUUCUUAGGGAUUUUGAAGAGUGGCGAACGGGUGAGGAACACGUAAGAAUCUGCCCCUCGGUCGGGGACAACUUUUGGAAACGAAAGCUAAUACCCGAUAUGCUGUGGAGUGAAAGAAUUUCGCCGAGGGAUGAUCUUGCGUCUGAUUAGCUAGUUGGUAUGGUAAUGGCAUACCAAGGCGACGAUCAGUAGCUGGUCUGAGAGGAUGAACAGCCACAUUGGAACUGAGACACGGUCCAAACUCCUACGGGAGGCAGCAGUGGGGAAUUUUCCGCAAUGGACGAAAGUCUGACGGAGCGACGCUGCGUGAAGGAUGAAGGCCCGCGGGUUGUAAACUUCUUUUCUCGAAGAAGAAGCUCUGACGGUAUUCGAGGAACAAGCAUCGGCUAACUCCGUGCCAGCAGCCGCGGUAAGACGGAGGAUGCAAGUGUUAUUCGGAAUGAUUGGGCGUAAAGAGUCUGUAGGCGGUAUGGAAAGUCUUUUGUUAAAUUCCUCGGCUCAA